CCAAACGACACUAAAUUAGAUAAGUCACUAAUGGCAGUUGGCCUUACUACAUUUGAAAAACAAAUAAAUCAAAUAUACUUGGUCCCAGAAGGACCUUGUCCAGGCUAGAUGCUCUUGUCAAUCAGAUUCCCCAGUUCGCGCAGGUUCAACAGUAAGAAUGGCCUUGAUAAAUGUUCUGUUUUGCUUCCUUCAACAUUCUGGCAAUCAGUGACUCUCUUCCUCAUUAUUCCAUCAGACUGUACUCCAGAUAUUCUAGCUUUUUGCUAUAUUUAACAGCGCUCUAUUUCCACUCGUUGAUCUUUUCUAU
RNAcentral lists this long non-coding RNA (307 nucleotides) under Nicotiana benthamiana. Its description in RNAcentral is "long non-coding RNA (NBEN_LNC020189)". The record is from RNAcentral. Lineage: Eukaryota; Viridiplantae; Streptophyta; Magnoliopsida; Solanales; Solanaceae.